CGAAUAGUCACAAUGGAGACGUACCUUUGUCUCAAGUUUCUGUUUUAUUCAAGUUCCAUUUACCGCGAGUUAAGGGCGAUAUAAAGGAUCACACUUUACGAGUACUUAAUUGUCACCUGUUUAUUGCUCUUGACUGAUUAUUUAUCAGAAGGAAACGAGUCGAUAAUACUUGUUCGCGAACAAUUAGUACCUACUAAAUACGUAGCUAUAUAAAAUACAACGGUGCUUCGUUGAGUACAGUGCAGUCGACAAGUGCAACAGUUACGUACGGGUAAUCGAUCGAUAAUUAUGGAUUACAAAGUUGUGUUUCUCGUGGCUUUGAUGCUGACGACCACAAUGUGUGUGCCUCGGGCCCCACCUUGUCCCUGCCCAAAAAUAUACCUCCCUGUUUGUGCCAAAGUGGCCAAUAAAGAGGUCACAUUCAAUAGUAUGUGCGAAUACCAGUGCCAACAUGACUUCGUGAAGCACAAUGGAGGAUCUAUGGAACUGCUCUACACGGGUUCACGGUGCCAUUAGACUGACUGCUUACAACCUCCUUAUGUAGUUUACCUCCUUAUUGUUUCUUUAUAAAUAUAUUUUUUAAGUGAUAA
Molecule: long non-coding RNA, 590 nt
Organism: Helicoverpa zea (corn earworm)
Lineage: Eukaryota; Metazoa; Arthropoda; Insecta; Lepidoptera; Noctuidae
Exons: 2
Source: RefSeq, a predicted model, not a curated record